Molecule: ribosomal RNA, 465 nt
Filed under: uncultured bacterium
Lineage: Bacteria
Description: partial 16S ribosomal RNA
Rfam family: Bacterial small subunit ribosomal RNA
Source: RNAcentral
ACGAACGCUGGCGGCGUGCUUAACACAUGCAAGUCGAACGGAAAGGCCCUGCUUGCAGGGUACUCGAGUGGCGAACGGGUGAGUAACACGUGGGUGAUCUGCCCUGCACUUCGGGAUAAGCUUGGGAAACUGGGUCUAAUACCGGAUAGGAGCCAUCUUUAGUGUGGUGGUUGGAAAGUUUUUUCGGUGUAGGAUGAGCUCGCGGCCUAUCAGCUUGUUGGUGGGGUAGUGGCCUACCAAGGCGGCGACGGGUAGCCGGCCUGAGAGGGUGUACGGCCACAUUGGGACUGAGAUACGGCCCAGACUCCUACGGGAGGCAGCAGUGGGGAAUAUUGCACAAUGGGCGCAAGCCUGAUGCAGCGACGCCGCGUGGGGGAUGAAGGCCUUCGGGUUGUAAACUCCUUUCGCUAGGGACGAAGCUUUUUUGUGACGGUACCUAGAUAAGAAGCACCGGCUAACUACGUG